AGGGUAAUAGUUAAAUCUUAACACUUAAUUUGCAAUUAAACAAUACUGAUAAAUCAUCAGUUUACCUUA
Molecule: transfer RNA, 69 nt
Filed under: unidentified
Description: Adiscus speciosus tRNA-Ala
Source: RNAcentral